RNAcentral lists this ribosomal RNA (424 nucleotides) under uncultured bacterium. RNAcentral describes it as "partial 16S ribosomal RNA". It matches the Rfam family "Bacterial small subunit ribosomal RNA", at positions 359 to 776 of the family's 1533-position model. The record is from RNAcentral.
AACUUGUGACAAUGGGGGCAACCCUGAUCCAGCCAUCCCGCGUGUGCGAUGAAGGCCAUCGAGAUGUCCAGCACUUUUGGCCGGAAAGAAACGGCUCUGGCUAAUAUCUGGAGACACUGACGGUACCUGCAGAAUAAGCACCGGCUAACUACGUGCCAGCAGCCGCGGUAAUACGUUGGGUGCAAUCGUUAAUCGGAAUUACUGGGCGUAAAGCGUGCGCAGGCGGUUCGGAAAGAAAGAUGUGAAAUCCCAGGGCUUAACCUUGGAACUGCAUUUUUAACUACCGGGCUAGAGUGUGUCAGAGGGAGGUGGAAUUCCGCGUGUAGCAGUGAAAUGCGUAGAUAUGCGGAGGAACACCGAUGGCGAAGGCAGCCUCCUGGGAUAACACUGACGCUCAUGCACGAAAGCGUGGGGAGCAAACAGG